GACGAACGCUGGCGGCGUGCUUAACACAUGCAAGUCGAACGGAAAGGCCCUGCUUGCAGGGUGCUCGAGUGGCGAACGGGUGAGUAACACGUGGGUGAUCUGCCCCUUACUUUGGGAUAAGCCUGGGAAACUGGGUCUAAUACUGGAUAGGACCAUGCUGUAGGUGGUGUGGUGGAAAGAUUUUUUCGGUAAGGGAUGAGCUCGCGGCCUAUCAGCUUGUUGGUGGGGUAAUGGCCUACCAAGGCGUCGACGGGUAGCCGGCCUGAGAGGGUGGACGGCCACAGUGGGACUGAGAUACGGCCCAGACUCCUACGGGAGGCAGCAGUGGGGAAUAUUGCACAAUGGGCGCAAGCCUGAUGCAGCGACGCCGCGUGGGGGAUGACGGCCUUCGGGUUGUAAACUCCUUGCAGCCAUGACGAAGCCGCUUUUGGGGUGACGGUAGUGGUAGAAGAAGCACCGGCUAACUACGUG
This 471-nucleotide ribosomal RNA is filed under the name uncultured bacterium. Its description in RNAcentral is "partial 16S ribosomal RNA". It matches the Rfam family "Bacterial small subunit ribosomal RNA", at positions 28 to 507 of the family's 1533-position model. The record is from RNAcentral.